Molecule: ribosomal RNA, 491 nt
Filed under: uncultured soil bacterium
Lineage: Bacteria
Description: bacterial SSU rRNA
Rfam family: Bacterial small subunit ribosomal RNA
Source: RNAcentral
AGAGUGAACGCUGGCGGUAGGCCUAACACAUGCAAGUCGAACGGCAGCACAGUGGUAGCAAUACCAUGGGUGGCGAGUGGCGGACGGGUGAGGAAUACAUCGGAAUCUACCUUUUCGUGGGGGAUAACGUAGGGAAACUUACGCUAAUACCGCAUACGCCCUUCGGGGGAAAGCCGGGGAUCGCAAGACCUGGCGCGGAUAGAUGAGCCGAUGUCGGAUUAGCUAGUUGGUGAGGUAAUGGCUCACCAAGGCGACGAUCCGUAGCUGGUCUGAGAGGAUGAUCAGCCACACUGGAACUGAGACACGGUCCAGACUCCUACGGGAGCAGCAGUGGGAAUAUUGGACAAUGGGCGCAAGCCUGAUCCAGCCAUACCGCGUGGGUGAAGAAGGCCUUGGGUUCGUAAAACGCCCGUUUUUGUUAGGGAAAAGAAAGCGUAAAGUCGGUUUAAAUACCCCGGUUUGUUACGUGAACCGGUUAACCCGAAAGUAAA